AGUGAACGCUGGCGGUAGGCCUAACACAUGCAAGUCGAACGGCAGCACAGUAAGAGCUUGCUCUUACGGGUGGCGAGUGGCGGACGGGUGAGGAAUACAUCGGAAUCUACUUUUUCGUGGGGGAUAACGUAGGGAAACUUACGCUAAUUCCGCAUACGACCUACGGGUGAAAGCAGGGGAUCUUCGGACCUUGCGCGAUUGAAUGAGCCGAUGUCGGAUUAGCUAGUUGGCGGGGUAAAGGCCCACCAAGGCGACGAUCCGUAGCUGGUCUGAGAGGAUGAUCAGCCACACUGGAACUGAGACACGGUCCAGACUCCUACGGGAGGCAGCAGUGGGGAAUAUUGGACAAUGGGCGCAAGCCUGAUCCAGCCAUACCGCGUGGGUGAAGAAGGCCUUCGGGUUGUAAAGCCCUUUUGUUGGGAAAGAAAAGCAGCAGGUUAAUACCCCGCUGUUCUGACGGUACCCAAAGAAUAAGCACCGGCUAACUUCG
Molecule: ribosomal RNA, 490 nt
Filed under: uncultured bacterium
Lineage: Bacteria
Description: partial 16S ribosomal RNA
Rfam family: Bacterial small subunit ribosomal RNA
Source: RNAcentral